Molecule: ribosomal RNA, 301 nt
Filed under: uncultured bacterium
Lineage: Bacteria
Description: partial 16S ribosomal RNA
Rfam family: Bacterial small subunit ribosomal RNA
Source: RNAcentral
CAGUCGCCGCGGGAAUACGAAGGGGGCUAGCGUUGUUCGGAUUUACUGGGCGUAAAGCGCACGUAGGCGGACGCUUGAGUCAGGGGUGAAAUCCCGAGGCUCAACCUCGGAACUGCCUUUGAUACUGGGCGUCUUGAGUCCGGAAGAGGUGAGUGGAACUGCGAGUGUAGAGGUGAAAUUCGUAGAUAUUCGCAAGAACACCAGUGGCGAAGGCGGCUCACUGGUCCGGAACUGACGCUGAGGUGCGAAAGCGUGGGGAGCAAACAGGAUUAGAUACCCCCGUAGUCCCUGUCUCUUAUAC